UAUGCAGCAGCUGAUGAGAGAACGACAGCAGAUGGCCAGUCGUCCCUUCGCUUCGGUUGCCGUGGCGCUGGAGGUGGGCGGCAACCAAGAGGAGCUGCAACAGAUGUUCAGGAUCCUCUGCUGUUGAGAAACGAUUACUUCCUGGAGGCGUGACCUGUGGUGAUCCUGUCAGUAACGUUGGCCUGUGCCGGGGUGCCGAAGCUCGUUGCCAUGGAGCCGUGCUGGGGCAGCCGAGCAGGAGUCCUCACUGUGCUGCUGCAUCUCCCAAGACUCCCGUCUGGAAUACCUCCACCUGGACAGUCUGGUAUGAUCCGCACACAACGAACUGACCCACAUGCCGCACAUCACAGCGCAGGCACAUCAUCUGAAUGUGCUGCUGAUAAAUAAGCUGUCAAUAAUCACGAUAAAAUGAAUUUUCCUGAUGAAAUGAUGGGAUUUAUGUAGGACAUAGAGAAUUUGCCAUUUUUUGCAAAAUAAAGUCCUUAAAAUCA
Xiphophorus hellerii (green swordtail) is the source of this 491-nucleotide long non-coding RNA. RefSeq lists it as uncharacterized. The transcript has 3 exons. The record is from RefSeq and is a predicted model, not a curated record. Lineage: Eukaryota; Metazoa; Chordata; Actinopteri; Cyprinodontiformes; Poeciliidae.